GUCAAUCCAAAGCAGCAGGUGUCUGAGUGAUCUAACUCAGCAGCCAGCACAGGUGAGCAACCCCAUCACAGUUCUUCCAUGUUCCACUUCCACUGGAGCAAAGCCUUCCCAUCAAGGGAGGAACAGCAAACACUCCAUACUUGCUUCUUUGCAGUCCAAGGCUUUUCCCCGCCCUUCACCCAAGAGACAGGAAAUACAAGGGCAGCAGCACAUCAGUCACACAUCAGUUCUCCAGGGAUACAAAGGGGUGACCAACUGGGUCUGAAGGAGUCACUUGUCAAGGAUCACAGCCCAUGUGUUGUCGUUUUUCUGCCAACAGAGGGCUCCACAGUUCUUGAAGAUUAUCCAAACUUUCCACUGGAUGUCAAGAUCUCUGCCCCAAACUUAGUUAUCAUUUACAGCAACAAGAGCCAGCAAGUAAAAAACUGUUAAUUUAUU
Long non-coding RNA from Ochotona curzoniae (black-lipped pika), 438 nucleotides. RefSeq lists it as uncharacterized. NCBI's taxonomy places the organism in Eukaryota, Metazoa, Chordata, Mammalia, Lagomorpha, Ochotonidae. The record is from RefSeq and is a predicted model, not a curated record. The transcript is spliced from 2 exons.